GUCUGUUUCCACGGUCGCUACACAAAUAGUAGCAGGAAAAUCUAUAGUCACGUGACAGUGUUGUGAUUUCAGUCGCCGUAGUUUCUAUUACAUUGUGCUCAAUUGCUCUUUCGAAAAAUCUCAUUUUCACGUUUAAUUUUGACAUUUUUCGAUUGUAAUUAAAAUUCAUAUAUCGAGAGUAUUCCGUCGUUGAAGAUGCUUCAUUCGGUGAUUGUUGGCGUUGGUGUGGCUAUCGCAGCAGGACUUGCAUACGCAAUCGCUGUUCAAUACUUCUCAGAAUCUCGAUACACGAAUCAACAACAUUUUUACGAACCUCGCGACCCUGACAUCUCCAACGUAUCAACGUUCGGUGAUUGUUCUCAUUGUGACGGUCCCGUUGACGCUUUGAAUGGAUAUGCACUGGCUUGCAAUCACCCUCUUCAUUAUACGUGUUCGACUUACAUAAAAGGCAUUCUGAAAGACUCGACAAAGUUGUGCAGAAUCUGUGUGGACUCGAAUCCGAGAAGGCCGAAGAAGAUUUGAGCGAAGGAAAUCGAAGUCGUCCAAAUUUCAAAACUUUGUCGUUUUCACACAAAGUUCAUGGAUUUUUAUGGAUGCAGGAACUUCAACGGUAAUUUCGGACAUUUGCCCUUCGAUUCCCCGGGCUUUUGACCCCCACCGACUGGUGCUUAACAGCCGCAAUACGCAGAAAACGAUCGACGAUAAUGAAAUCACUCCAAAUGAAUCUAACGACAAAUAACCGAUUUGUUAAUGAAUUUUUUAUGGCGCAAAAGUAGAAUUUCGUCCAGUCACUUCGAGUACUUCCGUAACAGUUAAAUCCCACUUAAUACAAUUUUCAAAAUUGAAUCUAUUCAGCGGUGUAAAAAUAUCGUCCAGUACAGUUUACAACGAUUUUUUUAAAUUGGAUAAAAAAUAAAUAUAGAAAAAAAUGAAUUAGAGCCUCGAGACGAAAAUUCAAAUUUGAAAAACAGCCGUAGCUCCAUCUCUGUGUAAAUUAUUGACAAUAAUAAAAAAAAAACUAUUUUAUCGACA
Molecule: long non-coding RNA, 1032 nt
Organism: Venturia canescens
Lineage: Eukaryota; Metazoa; Arthropoda; Insecta; Hymenoptera; Ichneumonidae
Exons: 4
Source: RefSeq, a predicted model, not a curated record